RNAcentral lists this ribosomal RNA (599 nucleotides) under Salmonella enterica subsp. arizonae serovar 18:z4,z23:- str. CVM N4410. Its description in RNAcentral is "bacterial LSU rRNA". It matches the Rfam family "Bacterial large subunit ribosomal RNA", at positions 502 to 1355 of the family's 2925-position model. Lineage: Bacteria; Pseudomonadati; Pseudomonadota; Gammaproteobacteria; Enterobacterales; Enterobacteriaceae. The record is from RNAcentral.
CGUGAGGGAAAGGCGAAAAGAACCCCGGCGAGGGGAGUGAAACAGAACCUGAAACCGUGUACGUACAAGCAGUGGGAGCAUGAGUUUACUCAUGUGACUGCGUACCUUUUGUAUAAUGGGUCAGCGACUUAUAUUCUGUAGCAAGGUUAACCGUAUAGGGGAGCCGUAGGGAAACCGAGUCUUAACCGGGCGUUAAGUUGCAGGGUAUAGACCCGAAACCCGGUGAUCUAGCCAUGGGCAGGUUGAAGGUUGGGUAACACUAACUGGAGGACCGAACCGACUAAUGUUGAAAAAUUAGCGGAUGACCUGUGGCUGGGGGUGAAAGGCCAAUCAAACCGGGAGAUAGCUGGUUCUCCCCGAAAGCUAUUUAGGUAGCGCCUCGUGAACUCAUCGCCGAGUCGGCCUGCGCGGAAGAUGUAACGGGGCAAACCAUGCACCGAAGCUGCGGCAGCGACACUGUGUGUUGUUGGGUAGGGGAGCGUUCUGUAAGCCUGCGAAGGUGGCCUGUGAGGGUUGCUGGAGGUAUCAGAAGUGCGAAUGCUGACAUAAGUAACGAUAAUGCGGGUGAAAAACCCGCACGCCGGAAGACCAAGGGUUCC